Molecule: ribosomal RNA, 350 nt
Filed under: uncultured Alphaproteobacteria bacterium
Lineage: Bacteria; Pseudomonadati; Pseudomonadota; Alphaproteobacteria
Description: bacterial SSU rRNA
Rfam family: Bacterial small subunit ribosomal RNA
Source: RNAcentral
GAGUUUGAUUCUGGCUCAGNGCGAACGCUGGCGGCAGGCCUAACACAUGCAAGUCGAACGAACCCUUCGGGGUUAGUGGCGGACGGGUGAGUAACACGUGGGAACGUGCCCUUUGGUACGGAAUAACUCAGGGAAACUUGAGCUAAUACCGUAUGUGCCCUUCGGGGGAAAGAUUUAUCGCCAUUGGAGCGGCCCGCGUCUGAUUAGCUAGUUGGUGAGGUAAUGGCUCACCAAGGCGACGAUCAGUAGCUGGUCUGAGNGGAUGACCAGCCACAUUGGGACUGAGNCACGGCCCAAACUCCUACGGGAGGCAGCAGUGGGGAAUCUUGCGCAAUGGGCGAAAGCCUGAC